This 585-nucleotide ribosomal RNA is filed under the name uncultured bacterium. RNAcentral describes it as "partial 16S ribosomal RNA". It matches the Rfam family "Bacterial small subunit ribosomal RNA", at positions 355 to 1375 of the family's 1533-position model. The record is from RNAcentral.
UGGGGAAUUUUGGACAAUGGGCGAAAGCCUGAUCCAGCAAUGCCGCGUGUGUGAAGAAGGCCUUCGGGUUGUAAAGCACUUUUGUCCGGAAAGAAAUCCUUGGCUCUAAUACAGUCGGGGGAUGACGGUACCGGAAGAAUAAGCACCGGCUAACUACGUGCCAGCAGCCGCGGUAAUACGUAGGGUGCAAGCGUUAAUCGGAAUUACUGGGCGUAAAGCGUGCGCAGGCGGUUUGCUAAGACCGAUGUGAAAUCCCCGGGCUCAACCUGGGAACUGCAUUGGUGACUGGCAGGCUAGAGUAUGGCAGAGGGGGGUAGAAUUCCACGUGUAGCAGUGAAAUGCGUAGAGAUGUGGAGGAAUACCGAUGGCGAAGGCAGCCCCCUGGGCCAAUACUGACGCUCAUGCACGAAAGCGUGGGGAGCAAACAGAAUUAGAUACCCUGGUAGUCCACGCCCUAAACGAUGUCAACUAGUUGUUGGGGAUUCAUUUCCUUAGUAACGUAGCUAACGCGUGAAGUUGACCGCCUGGGGAGUACGGUCGCAAGAUUAAAACUCAAAUGAAUUGACGGGGUCAUAGCUGUUUCCU